This 70-nucleotide transfer RNA is filed under the name Vibrio paracholerae. RNAcentral describes it as "partial tRNA". Lineage: Bacteria; Pseudomonadati; Pseudomonadota; Gammaproteobacteria; Vibrionales; Vibrionaceae. The record is from RNAcentral.
AUGACAGCCAAGCGCGUAACGGGCAUCGUUUCUCGUGGUGGCUCGAUUAUUGCGAAAUGGUGUCUUUCUC